AACGCACAUUGCGCCCUCUUUAACCGGGGGGCAUGCCUGUUCGAGCGUCAUUUACAUCUCAAUGAACAGUCUUCUGUUCGUGUUGGGCCUCGUCUGGUUGGACGUAGCCUCAAAGACAUGGGCUCUGUGAGCGGAUGGGAUCUCUUGUGGACUUACCGCUUGUGGGUGCCUGAACUCUUCCAAUGUGGACCUCGGAUCAGGUAGGACUACCGCCUGAACUUAA
RNAcentral lists this unclassified non-coding RNA (223 nucleotides) under uncultured fungus. RNAcentral's name for it is "sequence contains ITS2". The record is from RNAcentral. Lineage: Eukaryota; Fungi.